GCAGGUUAUGCAUGGUUUCUAAAUACUCCUGAACAAUCAUUGAGCUUCAUCCUUGCAGAUCAAGGUUUUGAUGUAUGGGUAGGAAAUGUGCGUGAAACACGCUGGAGCCAUGGUCAUAGGUCUUAUUCAGUGAAGAAUAAGAUUCCAUUCAUUCAGAUGAAGAUCAGUUUGAUGUAAUCCCACCAGAAACCGGUUCCGUAAGCUCACUUGGAAAGAAGAGUAUUAGAGAAGAACCAUCUAAGAGAAAGAAUCCUGGAGCAGUCAAAAUUAGUCCUUGGACAUUGGCGCGAUUAAAUGCAGAAGAGGUUUCCAAGGCUGCUGCUGAA
Molecule: long non-coding RNA, 326 nt
Organism: Arachis duranensis
Lineage: Eukaryota; Viridiplantae; Streptophyta; Magnoliopsida; Fabales; Fabaceae
Exons: 3
Source: RefSeq, a predicted model, not a curated record